CCUGGGGCUGGAGUAGGUCCCAAGGGUUGGGCUGUUCGCCCAUUAAAGCGGUACGCGAGCUGGGUUUAGAACGUCGUGAGACAGUUCGGUCCCUAUCCGCCGUGGGCGCAGGAGAUUUGAGGGGAGCUGACCUCAGUACGAGAGGACCGGGUUGGACGGACCGCUAGUGCACCGGUUGUUCCGCCAGGAGCACCGCCGGGUAGCCAUGUCCGGAUGGGAUAAGCGCUGAAAGCAUCUAAGUGCGAAGCCCACCCCAAGAUGAGAUCUCCCACCGGGUCAACCGGGUAAGACCCCAGCUAGACCAGCUGGUUGAUAGGCCGCAGGUGUAAGAGUGGCAACACUUUGAGCUGAGCGGUACUAAUCGGUCGAGGGCUUGACCUCC
RNAcentral lists this ribosomal RNA (382 nucleotides) under Chloroflexota bacterium. RNAcentral describes it as "Chloroflexi bacterium partial 23S ribosomal RNA". It matches the Rfam family "Bacterial large subunit ribosomal RNA", at positions 2546 to 2925 of the family's 2925-position model. The record is from RNAcentral. Lineage: Bacteria; Bacillati; Chloroflexota.